UGGGGAAUAUUGCACAAUGGGCGCAAGCCUGAUGCAGCCAUGCCGCGUGUGUGAAGAAGGCCUUCGGGUUGUAAAGCACUUUCAGCGAGGAGGAAGGUGGUGAACUUAAUACGUUCAUCAAUUGACGUUACUCGCAGAAGAAGCACCGGCUAACUCCGUGCCAGCAGCCGCGGUAAUACGGAGGGUGCAAGCGUUAAUCGGAAUUACUGGGCGUAAAGCGCACGCAGGCGGUUUGUUAAGUCAGAUGUGAAAUCCCCGGGCUCAACCUGGGAACUGCAUUUGAAACUGGCAAGCUAGAGUCUCGUAGAGGGGGGUAGAAUUCCAGGUGUAGCGGUGAAAUGCGUAGAGAUCUGGAGGAAUACCGGUGGCGAAGGCGGCCCCCUGGACGAAGACUGACGCUCAGGUGCGAAAA
Molecule: ribosomal RNA, 412 nt
Filed under: uncultured bacterium
Lineage: Bacteria
Description: partial 16S ribosomal RNA
Rfam family: Bacterial small subunit ribosomal RNA
Source: RNAcentral